Non-coding RNA from Ictidomys tridecemlineatus (thirteen-lined ground squirrel), 9202 nucleotides. Lineage: Eukaryota; Metazoa; Chordata; Mammalia; Rodentia; Sciuridae. The record is from RefSeq and is a predicted model, not a curated record.
ACAGAGUUCUUAGAAACAGACAAGCCAUCACUGCCAUACGUUCUCUGUUCUCUGUUUCUGACUCAUACAGUACACCAGCAUAACAAAGGCUCAUUUCUUACAUAACCAAGCUUUGUGGUGGCUUUUUAUGAAGCUAAACAUAACUAGUUGAUGCUGGAGUCUGAAGAGCUGGGAGCCAGUUGAUUGGAGUUCUUCCUUUUCCGAAGAAGUUAGAGAAUGAUUCAUUGACAACAGUCUCCUCUCUCACUGCAAAGGGCCAUGGCAAAUGCUUCAGCUUCACCUUCCUCACAUCUGUGCAUCUAGUGAUCUCCACAUAAAUGUCCUUUCCUCAGAGAAGUCUCAUGGGACCUAUCCCACUCCAUGCCAGUUAAGGCAGUUCAUCUCAGGAGUCUUAUUAAGGAAGUCGGAGCCAAUUCCAGCGUGAUGAAGUUUUGAACCUACUUUUUCUUCUAUUAGGCACAGGGUCUCUGGUUCAAUUCCUACGUCCUUGACCCACUUUGAGUUGAGUUUUGUGCAUGAUAAAUCUCAGCAAACAUACAUGGCAUGCCAAUCAAGCUCUUGCUCUUGAAAUCUUUGAAAUGUUGAGGAGAAGUCAAAGCAUGAAUACAACCUGGAGUGAGGAGAUGCAUAUAGAAAGAUGUAAAUUCUGAUGGUGUAAAUGCUGCAAUUAGUAAAUGCUGAGACGACAGAGAGACACUGAGAAAAAGAACUGCUAUGUCGAGAAGUUCCCUCCAACAAUUUCCUUGCACACUGUCUCUCUCUUCCUUCAGUAGACACAAGUUCUAAAUAUCACAGUGAUUUGCAUACCCUGGGGAACUUUUUGAAGGCCUUGGCUCUUGGCUCAAGAACAGUUUUCUUUCUUAGACUUGACUGAACAACAACUGUAAGUGCUCAAAGAAGACUCAGUUUAAGGCGAACCUAAAGCCACCCUGCUAAGGGGCUGAAUCAUGUCCCCCGACCCUGUCAAGAGGCUGACGUUUUACCCCCUCUUCUUAUUAAUCUGACUUUUGUUUUUAAUUAGGCUCUUUGCAAAUGGUCAAGUAAAGCUGAUGUUAUUAGAGUGACUGUGGUAUAAACAGCCUCCUUAUAGGAAGGGGAAGUUUGCCUACCUAGAAGACACAGGCAGAGGGAAGAUGAUGUGCAGACUCCGGGAGAAUGCCAGGAGGUACCUGAGAGGCCUGCAGAAGGAGCCAAUCCUGCCAACACCUUCAUUUCAAACUUCUGGUUUCCAGAAAUGUGAGACUGUAGAUUUCUGUUGCUAAGGUCACCCAGCGUGAGGUACUUUGUUACAGCAGCCCCAGGAAACUAAUACCCACCCUUUGCCUGAGAGGUAAAUACUGCUAUUUGUCUGCUACCCUCAUUGACUUCACUGAAAUGUGAGUCAUGUAGGAACGGAGACUGCAGCCAUUGCAGUGUCUACAACAGUGUCUUGGAGGCAGUAGCUGCAACACAAUUAAAAUUCGCAGAAUGAACUGAUACUUUUGGGCCCAGCGUGGCAAGCAGCAAAUGCAGGAGUGACUGUGUCCUGUUUUGACUGAAUCAAACGACAGGCACAUCAUUGCUGUGUGUAGUCUAUCAUCUUAAUCGUAAUCAUAGAUUUGUUUUGGAAAAUUACCUCCAGUCAACAAAUAAUGCAGGCCCAGAUAAUAGAUGCACUCUGCUCUGAUCUGCAUUGUGUAUCUGAUGAUUGGGAUGGUCUUGCUGUUCUCAUGUUGGAUUAUGAACACUUGAAACAGAACUGUCUUGCAAUCAUAUGAAUAAUAAGCACUUAUAUUUAGAUAUUAUGUUUCUUCUCAAGCAAGCAUAUAACUUACCUUUAAAAACCAACAAUUUGUAAGACCCGUCAAAUUAUCCUGGUGAGGUUCUGUGUUAGUUCUCUAUUUCUCCCAUAAGAAACAUCCAAAAAAAUUAAUGACUUGAAUCAACAUGGACUUAUUUACCUGUAGUUCUCAAGAUCAGGAAUCUGAAAGGGUCUCACUGUACUAAAAUUAAAGGGGUGAGAAGGCUGAGGUCCUUCUGGAGGUUGAGAAGAUAAUUUUCUGUCUUUUCCAGCCUUUGGGGAAAUUUGUGCCUCCUGGCUUGCUUCUGUCAUCAAAGCCAGCAACGGCCAGUCCAGCCCCCUCCGGUAGUCACCUCUCUGGCUCUGGCACUUCUACUUGCUUCUUUCCCAUCAGAGGGGUAUUGUGAUUACAUUGGGAUCCCUGAGUCAUCCAGGAAAAUUUCUUCAUUCUAAAGCCAGGUGAUUGGCAAACUUAAUUCCAUUAGAAAACCUAAUUUUGCUCUUGCUUAUACCAAAACCUAUUUGUGAUUUCCUGAAAUGGGGAGGUGGACAUCUUCCCUGGAAGAACAUUACUCCACUUCCAAUAGGAUAAGAGAGAACAUCAUUACCUUAAUCUGCUGCCAUGGUUUUUGUAUGUUAGCCCUCUCAGCGUGCAAAAUUAUUGUUGGGUAUUACAGGUUGUCUUCUGUCCUGCUGAUGCCACACUCAAAAGCUACUCCAGGGGUUAACUGAGGCCAGAACAUGAGUUUCAAAGCAGGUCUAAGAAGAACUUUUCACAAAAAUCUAUUUUGCAAGAUAUUCACAAACAUUAUAUGUAAAAGAGUGUUUCAUGGUUAAAUCACAUGGGGAAUGCAGAUUAAGCAAAAUACUGACCGAGACUUCUAAAAGCCUUUGUCUCUUUGGAUUGUGGUUCUCUAGGAGAGAAACCAUAGUCUGUAAAGUUCCCCAAAUUUCUUUGGCCAUAGAAAGCUUGUUAUUGCAAAGCAUUUUGGGGCACUAAUGAUGUGUGGAAUACUCAGACAUGCUGGUAUAAAUUAUUGCAGAAAAUUAGAAGCCUCUCUAGCAUGAAGGGUCCAUAGGAAAUUUGCUUCUAGGACUCCCCACAUUAUAUUGCAAUGGCAGUUGCUUUUAAAAGUGAAUCAUCCUUUGAGGACUGAAAAAAUAAAUUUGCUACUUAGAAACCUUCACAGCAAGAGAUUAUUGCAGACUGGCUUGACACCCUCCUAAUUCAAUAUGCUUAAACUGAAUUUAUCAUCUUCUGCCUCCUUCUCCCCAAUCUACCUUGCUAUUGGGACUGAGUUAUGUCUUCUCCAAUUUAUAUGUUGAAGUUCUAAGUACUAGUACUUCAGAGAAUGGCUGCAUUCGGAGACAAGGUCUGUAAAGUGGUCAUUAAGUUAAAAUGAGGCUACCAGGGUGCUUCCCAACUCCACAGGACUGCCAUUUUUAUCAGAAGUGGAAAGAAGCAGGCACAAACAUGGAGGGAAGGCCAUGGGAAGACAUAGGGGGACAAUUGCAUCCAAGAGGCAGGCAGAGAUGCCUCAGGAGAAACUACCUGGUCAGUACCUUGAUGUCAAAAAACAAAUUUCUGUAAGUUACACAGUCCGUGGUACUCUGUUACACCAGUCCUAGGAAAUUGACAUACUUACCUUUUGCAAAGAUACCACCUGAUUUCUAUGCUUUAUCAUUUUUCCUUCUAUGUAUUUCUUUGGUUCAUCUCUCUUUCACUCUAUCCUGUAUCUCCCGUGUUUUCCUGGGUGGUCUUCACCCCUCCUCACAGAAUCACCCCCUGCCAGUGUUUUCCCCUGAGAUGGGUCACUAUUCUAAUCAUUGCUGUCUUUUCUGUCAAUCCUACCUGCCUUCCCAGGGUGAAUGUCAUGGCCUUGUUCCACUGUUUCACCAGAGAAAGGUUCCAUCCCCGCCACAUCCCAUUGGUAUCAGUUCACAAUCCUAACUGGUCCCUCCUUGGAUCCCACUCCAGUCAGCCCGUGAGCUUCUAGGGACAUGAUGGGCUUCAUUCCUGCUGCCUCCCUCUACUCAUAGGAUCUCUCUGCCCAGGGCACCCUAUUUCCCUCUUUUUUACCCAUCUAAACUAUUACACCUUGCUGUGGUUGAAAUGUCCCUCCAAAUUCAUAUUGAAGUUUCCUGGCCACUGUGACCAUAUUGGGAGGGUAUCUGCCAGAGGUGAUUAGAUCAGGGGACCCUAUGGGCUGGUUAUUUGGGAGUAGCUUUGGCAUAAAAUUGGACUCUGUCUCUUUUGAGCAUUCUCUUGCCUCUGAACCCUCCCUCCUCUCCUCCUUCUCUCCCCUCCCUUUUCUGGUAUGGUCUUGCCAUGUGGUACCUUCUACCACACUGUAAUGAGGCAAGAAGCCCUUUGAUCUUGGACUUCCCAGUCUCCAAUAUUGUGAGAAAUAAAUUUCUUUUACAAUUAUCCAGUCUCUGGUAGUAUGUAAUAGUAACAGAAAACAGACUAGGGUAUUCCUUUGAAGCCUUGGCUCAUAGCCCCCUGCUUUCCUUAAAUUUCCCAGCCCAUGUUGAUUGUGCUUCCUGCCCUCCUACCCGAAGUGGGCUUCCACAGAAUACUGCUUUUCUCAAUAAAAACAAAGCUGGAUCCCCCAAGUUCUCAGAGGAAAGAAAAUGAACUGGUGGAACCAAGCACCAGUCUCCUGCCUGGAUGGAUUCCAGGAAAUCACCGUGUCCUUGGGAUUAUUCUCUAAUUCCCCUUUGCAGUCAUGCUGGCGUUUUUUGGCCCCAGAGUGGAAGGCUAUAUCAAUAUCAUGUAAAUAUAUUAUAUAAUGCCUGCACAAGCAUCUUACAGAUUCCUUGAAAGAAUGAAAUAUGCUUGGCAAAAGGUGUAGGCAAAUGCAGUUAUAAAAUAUAUAUAGUUGGUGCCACAGGUUUACAGACCCCUAUGACAGCAUGGGUCCUGGGGAAAUCUCAGGCACCCAAGGUCCUUCUUUUGCUGGCAACUGGUAUGACUCUGCAGGAGAAAUCUUGCUUUGAUCCUUCUGAUCAGUCACCUCAAAGCCCAGAUCAAGGAUGACAUACUGGGUGUCCCUUCUUGCCCUCAGGACUUUGGAGACCAGCUUCCAUCCACAUGAUUGACACUGCAGUGAUUUCUGUUCUCAGGAAACAUCAUGUGUUCUGCUUUUUUUUUUUUUUUCAACACAGCCUAACACUUGCAGAUCCACCGAAGGAUGAAGCUACCACAUAAAGCAAAGACCCCAGUGGUCACAAGCAUACAGCACUAGUCAUCAGUAGGUACUGUAGAAGGCCUCCCACCCUCAGAUGAGCACUUCAAAGAAAAAGAUUUUUCCAGCAAAGUAAGCAGGUGCUAUAUUUAACAGUGUUACGGAAGUAGUUGGGCAUUUCUGUUACAAUUUCAUAUAAUAAUCUAUUAUUUGUCAUAUAUAUAUACAUAUAUAUAUAAUAUAUGAUGUAUACACAUUUCUUACCCACAAAUUACCUACACCUAUACCUACACACACAAUAGAUUGUUGAUAUAGUCUCACAGAGUUAUAGUGAAUUUUAAAAAAAUCCAACAAAAUACAGUUGGGAGAGAAGAUCCCCCAGUCCAUUUCUUUUAGCUGCUUUUGACUAGAAACUGUUAAAUAAAUGAAGAACAGUAAAGAAGACCACUGGGUACACAUACCCAAUGGUGUUUCCUGGGGCUGGGGAGAAGAUGUCUUGGAAGUUUAGGUAUUUGAAAUACAUGAAGUGGACUUUUUCUUUAUUAUUUUUAAAUGAGCACAUUUACAUCAGGGAGUAUUCUUUUCAGGAUCUUAGAGUUCCACUCUGAACUGCACAUGAAAAGAAACAGUAAGAACAGAAGUUAAAAGAUGAUUAGAAAGCAGCAUGGUGGGAUUUAAACCUGCAGAUUAAAGAUGAAACGUUUGCCAGAAAGAUUAUCAGGUGAGGCAUCUGCUGCUGUACAUGAAACAUGCUGCCGAGUACGGGGUAUUUUUUAGAAAUCGCUUUUUCUGGAUAAGGAUUCUGAUAUUCGCUUAGUAAACAGAAUAAUUAGUAAAGAUUAAGAAAUUGUUCCCUGAAGUUUCUUGAUUGAUAACAUUUACUUGGCAUGAAGUUGUGUGGAAAUAAAAGCUUAUCCAUAUAACCAUGCACGAUUUUUGAAUUAGGCACUGUUAUUUGAUCUUAAUCAAACUGAAUUGACAGCUUGUCUGAGUCUCAAAAUCCACCUAAGUUAAUUAUAAUAAAUUUAUUGGUCUUAGAUUUUGUGACGUCAGGGUAGCUUUAUCUUUAUUCAAGCAAGUCAGGGGAAAAUGAGAUCAAUGCUGUGUGGACACUUACACGGUUUUGCUCAGUUCCAAGAAGCCUUGUUUAUGUCCUUUUCAAUCCAUUGUUCAGUGGUGUGCCUCGAGAAAGCAUGGGGUGAUGUGAAUUAAAAAAAAAAAAAAUCUGUGUCACAAGGAUUUGGAGUAAAAAUUGGGCUCUUGACAGUACAAAUUGGGUAACUGAAUACAUUUGUCAGGCCUUCCAAGUCCAAUUUACCUUUUUAUAGAAAAAAUUAACCCCUUUUCCAAGUUAUUAGGAGAAUUUCCUAAGAUAACUUAGCAAGACGGGUUCUCAGUACAGGUAAUUACUAUUGGCACUGAAUGGGAAAUUUUGUGUUUCUGAAUAGGGCACUAUCUCACAAUAGCUCAUGAAAUAUUUGAAAGCAUUCCUACCUGGGACCCCCUUUCUGCUCACCUUUCCCGUGUUAAAGUCUCACACAGCUCAGGAGGGCUAUCCGCUAAAUUCAGGGAAAGAGGCCAACUACUGUGUAGACCAGGUGGGGAUCAGCCUGCGUCCUACGUGCACAGGAUCCCCAGUGACAGUCUUUUUUCCCUUAGAUAUCCAGGGCAGCCGGAAGACAUGAGAUAUGCUUGUCUGGCUAAAAAAGAAAAUAACUUGUAAAAUGAAACUGGCAAGGGGGUAGCCUAUUUCUGCCAGGCAGCCCGAAAUCAAUCACACUGUAUGAAUUGGCUUUUGAGGUGUGUACCUUGUCCACUGAUAGGACUCCAAGGACAGGGUGAGGCUGAACCCUUUCAUUUGGUCCAUCUCUUCUCUGAUUUGGAUCCUGCAAUAAAAAAAUACACAAAGCCUGUUUUUAGGAACAAGAGGGAAAUCAAGAUCAAAACUGCAUCUGUGCUCGCUGUUUUCAUCCUACCCAUAUAUGCAUUUUAAAAUGUCAUUUCCACCCAUAAAAUCCUCAGGGGAGCCUUAGAAUCUUUUUGUCAUAGCAUCAUAUUGAAGAAUUGGCAGAGCAGAAUGCAAAAUGCUUCAAUUGUUUUAUUUUUUUUAAAUCCCAUUAUUUUAUCUCUUCAUUAAUUUGGCAUCCUGUCAAUAUUCAUUGAGCAUCUCUCCUGUGCCACUUUAGUUCCAGGUGGGAUGGAGCCAGGUGUGAACAGGCCUACCUUGUCCUGUUCUCUCACUGUGCUCCUGUGCCCUGUUUCUGUGCCUUCCGGUGCUCACUGACUUCUCAGAUGAUGGAAGAUCCCGUGGCCCAGUCCUUGGACCUCUGUGUUCUAUUCUUUAUCUCUACCCCUACCUAGGUCAGGAGUUAGGUGGCAUUUUUUUUUUCCUGUAAAGGGUCAGAUUCCUCCAUAGCUUCUCCCAUGUCUUCUUUCCUUUACUUUUAUCCCAAUAAAAAAAAUCUACAAGUGCUUCCCACCACCAUCAAAGCAAGGCCUGAUAUCCUCAUUGCGGUUCCUGAAGGGUCCAUGUGAUCUGGCUGUUGGUCUCCUCUUGAUCUUAUUUCCUGCACAGUGGCCUUACUGUGCCUACAAUCCAUGGAGUCUGCCCGGUCUUAGCCCCACGGUGGGUGCUUGCUUUUCCCCAGGCCUGGAAUGCUCUUCCUGCAGACAAUGACACACUUCUGCCCUUACUUCCUCAACAAGGUCUUCCCUUUAUUCUACUUUAGACUGCUUAAGAGACUGAUAUGCAAAUAUAUUUAUUUCCUAUUUGCCUCCUCUAUUAGAAUGGAAGCUUUGCAACUUGGGGACAUUACCAUUUGGUAACUGCAGUGUCUCUAUUCUUAAAACAGAAUGUGGUCCAUAGAAGGUGCUCAAAAAUAUUUGAUGACUGUCCAGAUAAAUAAAUGAAUGGGCAAGGAAACACAGACAUGUUCUUAUUCCUUGUAAAGCUCAUAGUCCAGUGAGAUUAUUCAAAGGGGUAAGUAGUUGAACACCUUUGAUAAGAAGGGACAGGAAAACCUGGAGCCCCAUUCCUCUCCUAGACUGUCAGAGCAAUCUUCUCAGAGACAGUAGAAUCUUAUUUGAGACCUUGAUGAUGAAUUGUAGUUAGUCAUCUCAUACAAGGCAUGUACCUCUGGGUGUGUUGGAGUGAAAAGAAGCUAGGGAAGCUGAGCCAGGUUGAACACUGAACGUGGUUUUUGGUGUUGCCUUUCUUAUCUGAGUUGAUAUUUAAGAGCUUGAAUUUUUACUAAUUUUAAGCUAAGCAAAUUGUUUGACUGACCUUGUAAAAUCUGAUCUUUGGGUUGCAAUUGUCCCUGCCAUGGAAGUAGCUAGGAGGUAGAGUUUACUGUUGGUAACACACUGGGCAUUCCUGUCCUGAAGGGGAAAGUAAUGGUGCCCUGAAUUGAGAUUCAGAGAUGAAGAGGACUGUCACUCCUUGCCCUCACUUAAUGAGUGAUUUUUUUUUCCUGGGGAUUUAAUCAUUUUGGAUCAUCAUGGCAACUUUUCAAUGAUGGGAAGAAAAGCCAAAACUUUAGUAAAAGCAAGAUUAACAAGAUUAACCAUCAUUAUCUCCCCCGCUUUUCCAGAAAUGUGAUUUAAUCACAUUUUUACUUGCAAAAUAUACAACCCAAGAAUUUUCUUGAAUUUAAAUUUGCCAAUGCUUUUAGCAUGUCUACAUUUUCAUUUCAAGCUUUGUGAAACCAGCAGGGAUGAGAAUUAUCCCCAUUUUACGUGGGAUAAGUUGUUUUCCUUUUCCUUGCCGGUGGUAUUCCUUAUCAUCUGUUUGAAAACUCAAGAAGAAUUAAUUAAUGAGACAUCUCGCAUUGACAAAGUACCACAUAAUGGCCCUUGAAGUGGAGCUGCAAUCAAAAUAAUGCAUUUCUCACAGUAGACGGUGGUUUCGAUAAUUUCAGGAACUGUUUGAAACAGGUAUUCACAGCUAGACCAGACAAGUCCACGCUAUUCACUUUGAAUACAUGGUAUGAGGAUUGUAAAUUACAUCAAGCCAUUAGAUUUUACCUCUGACUUGUGAAAAGAGCAUGGAAAAUACUUCAUGUUCAGUCUUUGGAAAAUUGUAUCACUCUUCCAAUAAGUGAUGUCAACUCAUGUGUCAGAGAGAUGGAUCCCAAACUAAUCUCUGGAGAAAAAAAAAUUAUUUGGUAUGAAAUUGAGAAGAAGUCUAUGUCUAAUAUAUUGAAGGUAAUAAAAAUAAACUAUGUUUUUAAAAUAA